GAGAAUGAUUUUACAAAGAGCAAAUGAAAGAGUAACCUAUUAGAAGAAACUCAAUAUAUCGUCCUGAAUGUAUGUCGACUCGCCGAUCAUAUGCAAUGAAGCAGAUAAUGAUGAAGGGUAAGAAUUUUUGUAUUUGAAUGGAUUUAUUGAACAUACAAAGAUGGAAUGCCAGACCACAACAGAGAUUUCAAGAUAUAUGAAGGGUACGGAGGAUGAGGAGAAGGCUUGAUUGGUUUUGACCAUAUAUCCUUCAGAGAAAAAAUAUCUGGUGAACGUCUGCUAGUUUUGCUAUUGAUAGGAGGGAUUCUGAUGAAAUGAGAGCUGUCACUUCUAUUUGAAGGAGAAUUGUGGUUGGAGUGAAGUGUUUUUGCAAGGAGAGCUGCGAGUGGAGAAAGUGCAGCUGCAAACAAAAUCAGAAAUGAACGAAAGGAGCCACCAGGGCUGUAUUGUAAAGAGUUGUUAGUGGUCAAAAGAAGCUGAGGAGUUGUGAGUUAUGAAGCAGUAGAGAGAAGCAUCAAAAGGUGUAGACAGAGAUACGGCCACAUCCGUUGCAGGGGAUUCUUUGGGGAUUGUAGAACGAUUUGAUGGCAAUGGAAGCUGAAUAUGCGGAUGCUUUUGCUCAAAAUGGUUGAAGUAGACCGGAUAGUGCACAUGUUGUAAGCAUUGCAAGCCAGUUUUCCAGAAAUCUUGGACCACAAACGUUGGCCAGCAGUCAAAUAUUUUGAGAUAUCUUCAAGCAACAACUAAGCACAAAAUUACAUUCAGUGGGAGCUAAGAAGAAUAUCUGAAGUGUAUGGGUUAUUGUGAUGCAAAUUGGAUAAGAGAGACUGAUAGCAGGACAUCAGUGCCAAGAUAUUGUUUUAACUUUUAUCUAUAGUGGAGGUGCAGUUUCGUGGGCAAGUAAAAAACAACUGAUAGUUUCUCUUUCAAGAGCAGAAGCAGAGUACAUAUCAGCCUGUCAAGCAACAAAGGAAUCAAUAUGGUUGAGAACGUAAUUGCAGCACACUGGGAUUGCUCAAACCCAACCAACGGUGUUGAUGGGCGACAGUCAAAGUUGCAUUGCUGUGACAAAGCAAUCAAAGCAUCAUGGGGAAAUUACACGUGUUGAAAUACAAUAUCAUUUCAUUCGUAACAAAUUAAGAAUUUGUACAAGUGGAGUACUGUGCAACUGAAAUAAUAGUGGGAGAUGCAUUGACAAAGGCACCAUCAAGAAACAAAUGUGAGUAUUGUAAGGAUGGAUUAAAUGUACUACAUCCUGACAGAGAAAUAUUUGGCUAAGUGGGAACGUUGUGCUUAUUUAGCGAUUAGUGUUACAUUUAGGACUUUCUGAUUAAUUAAUGAUUAGCUGUAGGGUAGUGAGUAAAUCUAGGGCAGUUGGAUCAAGUCUUUUAUGACUCUCCUACUCUGUUUUCUACAUGAGCAUGUAACCAUGUUCAGUUUACAAAAUAAAAUAAAAGAGUACAGUUCUGUUUUUGGUUUUACACUGAUAUUCAGUUUUACUUUCACAUAGAAUACUGUCGACUGGGAUAC
Molecule: long non-coding RNA, 1530 nt
Organism: Cryptomeria japonica (Japanese cedar)
Lineage: Eukaryota; Viridiplantae; Streptophyta; Pinopsida; Cupressales; Cupressaceae
Exons: 3
Source: RefSeq, a predicted model, not a curated record